GACGAACGCUGGCGGCGUGCUUAACACAUGCAAGUCGAACGCGCCUGUCCUCUGGGUUUCUGGGGGGUGGGUGAGUGGCGAACGGGUGAGUAACACGUGAGUAACCUGCCCCCUUCUUCGGGAUAACGGUCUGAAAGGGCUGCUAAUACCGGGUAUUCACUGGUCUCCGCAUGGGGUCUGGUGGAAAGGUUUUUUCUGGUGGGGGAUGGGCUCGCGGCCUAUCAGCUUGUUGGUGGGGUGAUGGCCCACCAAGGCUUUGACGGGUAGCCGGCCUGAGAGGGUGACCGGUCACAUUGGGACUGAGAUACGGCCCAGACUCCUACGGGAGGCAGCAGUGGGGAAUAUUGCACAAUGGGCGCAAGCCUGAUGCAGCGACGCCGCGUGAGGGAUGGAGGCCUUCGGGUUGUGAACCUCUUUCGCCCGUGGUCAGGCCGCGACGUGGGUCGUGGUGAGGGUAGUGGGUAAAGAAGCGCCGGCUAACUACGUG
RNAcentral lists this ribosomal RNA (487 nucleotides) under uncultured bacterium. RNAcentral's name for it is "partial 16S ribosomal RNA". It matches the Rfam family "Bacterial small subunit ribosomal RNA", at positions 28 to 507 of the family's 1533-position model. The record is from RNAcentral.